Molecule: ribosomal RNA, 468 nt
Filed under: uncultured bacterium
Lineage: Bacteria
Description: partial 16S ribosomal RNA
Rfam family: Bacterial small subunit ribosomal RNA
Source: RNAcentral
GACGAACGCUGGCGGCGUGCUUAACACAUGCAAGUCGAGCGGAAAGGCCCUGCUUUUGUGGGGUGCUCGAGUGGCGAACGGGUGAGUAACACGUGAGUAACCUGCCCUUGACUUUGGGAUAACUUCAGGAAACUGGUGCUAAUACCGGAUAGGAGCUCCUGCUGCAUGGUGGGGGUUGGAAAGUUUCGGCGGUUGGGGAUGGACUCGCGGCUUAUCAGCUUGUUGGUGGGGUAGUGGCUUACCAAGGCUUUGACGGGUAGCCGGCCUGAGAGGGUGACCGGCCACAUUGGGACUGAGAUACGGCCCAGACUCCUACGGGAGGCAGCAGUGGGGAAUAUUGCACAAUGGGCGGAAGCCUGAUGCAGCAACGCCGCGUGCGGGAUGACGGCCUUCGGGUUGUAAACCGCUUUCGCCUGUGACGAAGCGUGAGUGACGGUAAUGGGUAAAGAAGCACCGGCUAACUACGUG